GAAAUCAAUUAUCAAACUAUAAAACACUAAGGCUUACUACUUUUGUCUUAAUUCAACCUAUAAUCCAUUCUACGACUAUCAAUUCAACAAUACUUCUAUAUUCUUAUACGUUCAUCUCCCACUUACUCUCUUUGUGGUUUAGAUAUAUUCAAUUACUGAUCUCUAGCUUACUUAUUGUAUCAAUUUUUUAAUUCAUCACUUAGAAUUACAACUCUCACAGUCUGGCUCUCGGCUUACGACUCUCACAGUCUGGCCCUCGAUCUCUCUUUUCUUAACCUCUUUAUCCUACCAAAAGAUGAUCCGUUGUCAUGUUGUAACAUGAGUAUACCAUGAAAAUAUAAAGA
This 344-nucleotide long non-coding RNA is filed under the name Physcomitrium patens. RNAcentral's name for it is "long non-coding RNA (PPAT_LNC009168)". Lineage: Eukaryota; Viridiplantae; Streptophyta; Bryopsida; Funariales; Funariaceae. The record is from RNAcentral.